AUGGACUCAAGUGAUCCACACAUCUUUGCCUCCCAAAUUGCUGGGAUAACACAUGUGAUUCAUGGUGCUCAGCCUAAAUCUUUGUUUCAUGAUCUUUUAGUUGAAAGAAAUCAAAACUUCAAUGCCAUUGGACACUUCAUGAAGAUGUGUCAAGAUAAGAUCCCAUUCCUGUUUCCCUCUGUGAUGAUGUCACUGAUCUGUUCUUGGAAUUGGAAGAGGAAUCAAGAAAGAACAGUAACAGAAAAGAGAAAACCUGAUACUAGUGGAAAAAAUGAGUGAGAUGCAUCACAGACUGAAGAAUCUGCCUCCCAGAAUGAGCAACAACCCAUUUGAAGCAGUAAAAGGAAAUUCUAAGUAAUGAUCUGUUAAGUACUAUCUGCUAAUAUUUUCCCUGGAUCUGUAAUGUGGCAUGAACACUAGUUCCUUAAACUUGCAUUGCAUACCAAUAAACAUAAAUAAAUUACCACAAAUAAAUGUCCCCUGUAUUGCAUGCCAUAGCACUUCAUUCUGUGGGGACAUCCAGGCCAAAAUGAUGAGGAUCUUGUUCAGAGACUGGGUGACAUGAAUCAAAGCCUGAUUCAAAGAAAACUGGCUUCUAAGUUGUGUUCUUCCCUUCCUGGCUCUCUGACCUAAGACAUUUUUCUUGUUUGUUUUGCCUCACCAAGCCUCAAAGUACUCACUCAACAUGGAAUAAAUAUCAGAAUCAUAGUGUUGUAGUGAAGGUUAAGUUAUAUAUGUGGGAAAUGCAUUUACAAUUACUAAAUAUUGGUUAGCCUUAUAAUUCUAAUUAUUAUAAUUUUUAAAAUAUUCUAUGAACUUCAAUUUAAAAUAAGACACAGACACAGAUGUGAAUAAGUGUUAAUAAAAUGUGAUCAUAAGUACAACAGGAGUAGAAGUGUGGGGGAAGAGAUCUCAACUGUGCAUAAGAGAAGAUGGGAUGUAAAUUUUGAGUUAUGUUUACUGAUUAUGUGGGAUUCAGAUUGAUAGUCAUGAGCUAUAUAAAGGAGAACUUUCCAGAAGUGAGAAAUGGUCUGUAAUAAGGUUCAGAUGGGCAGGGAAAUAGAGGGCUAUAGAGAAAAGCGGGAGGUCUAGAGUGACUGUGGUAUUGAGCGUGAGUGACAGAAACAGGUAAAGGGAGACAUAAUGCACGCUUUAAAAGCAUGGGGAUAUGAGUUUAAGGUUCCAAAAUUUAGAUAAUCCAACAGGAACCAUAGAUUAUAGAAUGAUAAGAUCAAAUGUAUGUUUAGGGAAAUAACUCGAAUGGCAAAGAGUACACUAUAUUCUCAGGAAGAACUGGACUCAAGACAUGAAAACACUUAAGGUAGUAAGAAACUAGAAAAGGAUAUUGGGAGCUUGAAUUCGGGCAAUAAAUGAAAGGGGUAUAUUAAUAUAAGUUUCCAUUUUUUUUCCACAAAAAUCAGAACCCUUCUAUAACUCCAACUAUUGAUAGACUUGAAGUCACUUAAGUGAAUUAGUAACACAACCGUAGUAAAACUUUUGUUAAACACAACGUUCCAUUUAGUAACAUACAGUAACAUAGGAUUUCAUCCUGUGCAAAGUCAUAUAUAUAUUUUACACAUCAAAGCUGAAGCCUGAGAUCCCAGUAUCCAUUUUAUAUGUUGCAUGUUGUCUGUACCCUGUCACUGUCUCCAUGCCUUUAUGUAAAUAAUUUCUUUAAGUACAACUUUGAUAAAGUUAUUAUAUAGUGAUUUUAUUAAUUUGUAUGUAUAUAUAAAUGUGGGGUUUUCUUAUAUUCAUAUUCAGGUUAUUUAAUCUCAGUGUUUUUAUUGAAAUCAGCAAAAUCGUAAGUCAGAUAAGCUCUCCCUGAAUAGUUUUAUUAAAGGAUGUUAGGAUAAACUGGACUCCAAAUGUUAAUUGCAAUAAAUAUGCAUAUGCUAAAAAUGAGCCCACAGAUAAAGAAACACAUAAACACUACCUUAGCAUGAGUGUUUUACUUGUUAAUUUUCAGUUCAUCAGCAAUAUUGUAUAUACCAAAAAUAUGUUUGCAUACACCAUACAUGCACACACAUACGCAUAUAUAACUUCUGAAAACUACUGAUUAGGGAUGCUCUAAGGCUGUGCUGUCCAACACUGUAGACACUGACUAGGCACUUGAGAUAUGCUUUGUCCAAGCUGCACUGCACUCUAGCAUAAAACAAACACAAGACUUUGAAGACUUAGAAUGCAAACAGAGUAAAAGGCAACAUUAACAAAUUUGUGUUAUUACCUGAAGAAAUUCUAUAUCAAUAUAUGAGUAUAAAUAUUAUCACAGUAAUAGUAAUAUAGGUA
Molecule: long non-coding RNA, 2289 nt
Filed under: Macaca mulatta (Rhesus monkey)
Lineage: Eukaryota; Metazoa; Chordata; Mammalia; Primates; Cercopithecidae
Description: lncRNA (ENSMMUG00000064763.1)
Source: RNAcentral